Molecule: unclassified non-coding RNA, 4285 nt
Filed under: Hevea brasiliensis (rubber tree)
Lineage: Eukaryota; Viridiplantae; Streptophyta; Magnoliopsida; Malpighiales; Euphorbiaceae
Source: RNAcentral
UUAAAAAAAAAAAAAAAAAAAACACUUUUCCGGAAAAGCGCUUUCUCCAAGUGAAAGUGCAGCAGUAACCUGUAAUUAUCGCCAUCGUCCUCUCGACCACCCUCUACCAUUCUUAGAAUCGACUACAGUUUCUUGUUUUUGCCUCAACACCCAAUGCAUGGAACUGGGUUUGCAUCAUAUUCUAUCUGCAAACACUUCGUUAUUGAGAAUUCUUUUAUAUACACACACCUGUUCAUUGAUUUUAUACAAUAAGCACUUGUGCUUUUCUUGUGUGUUUCUUUUAUUAUUAUUAUUGUAAUGAUGCAAGUUUCUUGCAAAUGCCUUUAUGGAAAUUGGAAGGAAGCUGUUCUAUAAUAAAAUGCUUAGCCAGCAUUGCAGUUUUUGCUGAAGUUUUCUAUACAUGAUUUAUUUGCUUUUUCCUCUGUUUUGGUGAAACUUGUAGAUUGUGUUGUCGUUUUUGUCAUUUGGGUUCAAUGUUUUUUCGUUCUUUAUUUGAUAGAUAAUCUCAUUUUACGAUUUGAAUUUCUAUCAAAUAUCUAGCUACCAAUAGUAAUAGAUAGAUCUGUGGUUGGUAAUUAAUUUUAUUUCUUCUAUAGUAAUGUUUGUUUCAUUUUUAUUAUUAUUAUUAUUGCCAUUCUCUGGUUCACUUUUGUUUAUUUAAUUUUGGCUCUCUUUUUUUUAUAUUACUUUCUGUGUAAAGUAUUCGCAUUUGCUUGCUUGCAGGAUGGUAGAUUUAAGAAUGGGCCUAUGGUUGAAUCUUCUAGUUUUUGUUUUGUUGUUGAUGAAGAUAGAAGGCUUUUAUGUGGGAAUUACUUAUUUGAACAAUGCAGUCGAAAAAGGAGCUGUUUGUUUGGAUGGAAGCCCCCCAGCUUACCAUUUAGAUGAGGGGUUUGGUACAGGCAUUAAUAGUUGGUUGGUUCACUUUGAGGGAGGAGGAUGGUGCAACAAUGUAACAACUUGCCUGGCCCGCAAGAAUACCCGUUUAGGUUCAUCUAAGCAAAUGGUCACACAACUUGCUUUCUCUGGGAUUUUGAGCAACAGGCGACAAUUUAAUCCAGAUUUCUACAACUGGAAUAGAGUUAAGAUCAGAUACUGUGAUGGGGCUUCAUUUACUGGUGAUGUGCAGGCAGUCAAUCCUGCUACUAACCUUCACUUCAGAGGAGCAAGGAUUUUUCUUGCUGUCAUGGAGGAUCUACUAGCUAAAGGAAUGAAAAAUGCUGAAAAUGCACUUCUUUCUGGUUGUUCAGCUGGUGGACUGGCUGCCAUUUUGCAUUGUGAUAACUUCCGAGCUCUUCUACCUAUGGGUACUAAAAUAAAAUGCCUUUCAGAUGCUGGUUAUUUUAUCAAUGUGAAUGAUGUUUCUGGAGCACCACACAUACGAAACUUCUUCAGUCAGGUGGUUUCAUUGCAUGUAUAUCCUCUUUCUUUCACCUGUUUCUACUUGGGAUUGCUUUUUUGUUUUUUUUUUCCCAGCACUGCACAGAUUAUGCCAUGUUCUUGUUCAAAGUAACAUGUUAGCUACUGAAAAAGAGUUCAAUGCCAUGGCACAUUCUAUUAGAAUGAAAGGUAAGACUCCUGAUUCAGACUUUUCAAUAUUUUCUUCAGGGAUCAGCAAAAAAUUUACCUUUUUCCUGUAUUUCGAGAUUAAACCCUGCAUUGGUAAGUGUCUUUAUUGAUGUUACUUUCUCUCUUCACCAUUUCCUCUACAGUCUUACUGAUACUUAAUGAUUUACAGUGUUUCUUCCCACAAUAUGUGGUGCAGCAAAUACGAACACCCCUUUUUGUUCUAAAUGCAGCAUAUGAUUCAUGGCAGGUAGGCAUAUUACUAGUUAUGUAUGAACAUAUAGAUAUGUGAAUACAUAAAAUGGCUUUAUGUGUCAUCUUAUCAGUUAUUGCAAUGAGAUGUCUUUACCCAUAAUGAGAUGCAGGUUGUCAGAAAUCAAUUAUCUUAUGCUCUUGUUGGUAAAUAUAUAUUGAUCUUUUUUUUCCACAUAGAUCUCCCUCAUGUCUCAAGAGUUAAAAUUGAAGGGGGAAAUUGGUACCUUCCUUUUUCUGAAGUGGAUUAAAUAAAUUGUGCUAUGUAAAUAUAGAAGAAUUUCAGGAUGUCAAUUGGAAAAUUUUGCUUUAUGUGCUUUGUACUUUUUCUCAAUUAUAUAAUUACUAUGUGAUUGACCUUCUUCUUAUUCUUUAAAACCAUAGUAUCAUUUACCGUGAAAAUUUGUGGAAUUAAUUUCUGCUGAUGCAAAAUUCAUCCUGUAUAACCCUAUUAAUAGUGCAGAGGCAUUCCAACUUCUUUGCAGCUGGUGGUUCUAUUUUGCAAAAUUGCAAGUUCUGAUUUGUGUUGGUAAUCCUUAAUCUUUUUAAUUGAUUCAGAUUAAGAAUAUUUUGGCACCGAGCGUUGCUGAUCCUCGUAGCACCUGGAAUGACUGCAAGGUUGACAUGAACAACUGUUCCCCUAUUCAACUCAAAACAAUGCAAGGUGACCAAAGGCAACCUAAUUUACUCUCUUAAGCAAUCUUCCUGAUUCAAAUUUCCUGUUUGGUUUUAGUAAGUUGUAGUAAAGAAGUUAUAGGGUAUUCUGAAGAAUAGAGUUUAGUAAUUCCACAAAAUAAAACGAAACUGAAAAAGAAAAUUUCUAAUGAUAAUUACAAACAUCGAUCAACCAAGUUGUAAAGACAGCCAUGAAUUGGCUCAGCCCUUUACUACGAGGUUACUAAUUUUUCAAUUGUUCAUUUCGUGCACAUGAUUAAACACAAAAGUUUACCAAAUUUUAUUCAUAUGUGGGAGGCCCUUCCCGCUAUUUCUACAAAAAUUUUCUAGAAGUUGAUAGUGAAAAGCUAUUCAAAGCAUUUGCAAAAAAUAGUGGUUAGAAGCUUUUCUUAGUCAUUUAUCUUGGGUUUAUUUUCAGAUUUUAGGUUGCACUUCUUGAGUGCAUUGUAUAAAUCAGCCAACUCUUCUUCCAAAGGAUUGUACAUAGACUCUUGCUAUACCCACUGUCAAACUGAAACACAGGAGACAUGGUUCAUGGCUGACUCUCCCAUGCUUAGCAAAACAAAAAUUGCAAAGGCAGUUGGAGAUUGGUUUUAUGACAGGAUUCCUUUCAAAAAGAUUGAUUGUCCUUACCCUUGCAAUCCAACCUGCCCCAACAAUGUUUUAAAUCAGCCAUAUCACCCGGAAGUAUAGUUUUUUACUGCCUCAAAAUUCAUCUCGUUUAUUUUUUAUUAUUCAAAAUUAUAGCAGAAAUGAGCUUGAUACCAGAAACGUAAGGCUUCUAAAUAAGAAAAUGACACCAUUGCACCAAACUUUUGUGCUGGGAAUCUGCAAUCAUUGUUAUUGUUUUCAAUUAUUAUUCAUAUAUAAAAUCAAAUCUUCCCCAUUUUAGUAUUAUAAGAUUAUCUUCCUCUAUAGAAGAAACCACCUGCAAUUCAUUUCUUUGUUUUUUUGUGUUGCACCUUUUACAUAAGAAACUUGCUUUUAUAUCUCUGUAUCUGCAAAUUUGCCAAAACUGGCUUUAGAUAAUGCCUGUAGGUUCUAUUUCAUUACUGAACAUUGAAAAUGACUCAUCUGAAAGAACUGUAGUAACAAAAACUUGUGAAGAAAAUUUAAUUAAAAUAUACUUUGGUAAAUUAAAUAAGCUCAUUUCCUUGGAUUAAGAGGAAAAAGAGCAGAAAAUAGCUCCAGGGAAAGACUGGACCAGCAUAAUACUAUCUUCUUUUAUGUUUAUAUGUGUGUGUCUGCAAGGAAAAAGAUUAAUGCAAACAGGAUAUGUGCUUCUUUACUUGCAUAACUUAUGUAUUCUCGCAGUAUCUAAUAAUUUUUGUGUAAAGGAAUUUGAGAGGUUGGUGCUUUUGGCUUGGCAGAAGGGACCACGAAAUGGGAGUGCAGCAACAGAACAUUUGAUUUUGGUGAAAUGGGUUUUCUGUUGGUUGAUAGCACUGCAAAUGGGGUUGGAGUGGGCAUGAAAAAGCGGAUUCAAGAAGCGAAAAGGAUUCAAUAUGGCUCAUGAGCUCAUUGGCCAGCAUCUUCAUACAAUCAGAUGCAUACAAUAUAUCUUGUCAUAGGAGAAUUCCAAAGUUGAUACCACAGAUGAAAGUACUGAAUACAUAGUUUUACCUUACAAAUCAGCUGUAAAUACUUGAAAUUUUAUUAUCUAAGUAUGUUGCCCUCUUGUUUUGUUCUUCUAUAUUUAAUGUAUUCAUGAUGUUUUGCUGUAUCCAACUGUUUGUUUUGUAUUGCUUUAACUAUUAGUGAUAGUUGAUGAAAGCAUGUAUAAUUUGAUACUGGA